This 456-nucleotide ribosomal RNA is filed under the name uncultured Anaerolineaceae bacterium. RNAcentral's name for it is "bacterial SSU rRNA". It matches the Rfam family "Bacterial small subunit ribosomal RNA", at positions 916 to 1381 of the family's 1533-position model. Lineage: Bacteria; Bacillati; Chloroflexota; Anaerolineae; Anaerolineales; Anaerolineaceae. The record is from RNAcentral.
GACGGGACCCGCACAAGCAGCGGAGCGUGUGGUUUAAUUCGUUGCUACACGAAGAACCUUACCUGGGUUUGACAUAUAGGUUGUAGGGAACUGAAAAGGGACCGACCCUUCGGGGAGCCUAUACAGGUGUUGCAUGGCUGUCGUCAGCUCGUGUCGUGAGAUGUUCGGUUAAGUCCGCUAACGAGCGCAACCCUCGUCGUAUGUUAUAUGUGUCAUACGAGACUGCCGGUAAAAGCCGGAGGAAGGUGAGGAUGAUGUCAAGUCAGCAUGACCUUUAUAUCCAGGGCUACACACACGCUACAAUGGUCUGUACAAUGGGUAGCCAAGCCGCGAGGCGGAGCCAAUCCUGAAAGCAGGCCUCAGUUCAGAAUUGCAGUCUGCAACUCGACUGCAUGAAGCCGGAGUUGCUAGUAACCGCAGGUCAGCAAUACUGCGGUGAAUACGUUCCCGGGUCUU